Molecule: ribosomal RNA, 450 nt
Filed under: uncultured bacterium
Lineage: Bacteria
Description: partial 16S ribosomal RNA
Rfam family: Bacterial small subunit ribosomal RNA
Source: RNAcentral
GUGGGGAAUCUUCCGCAAUGGACGAAAGUCUGACGGAGCAACGCCGCGUGAGUGAUGAAGGUCUUCGGAUUGUAAAGCUCUGUUAAUCGGGACGAAAGAGCCUAGUGUGAAUAAUGCUAGGAAGUGACGGUACCGGAAUAGAAAGCCACGGCUAACUACGUGCCAGCAGCCGCGGUAAUACGUAGGUGGCAAGCGUUGUCCGGAAUUAUUGGGCGUAAAGCGCGCGCAGGCGGAUCUGCCGGUCUAUCUUAAAAGUUCGGGGCUUAACCCCGUGAUGGGAGGGAAACCACAGAUCUAUAGUAUCGGUGAAGAAAGGGGAAUUCCUAGUGGAGCCGUGAAAUGCGUAGAUAUUAGGAAGAACACCAGUGGCGAAGGCGACUUUCUGGACGAAAACUGACGCUGAGGCGCGAAAGCCAGGGGAGCGAACGGGAUUAGAAACCCGAGUAGUCC